This 353-nucleotide ribosomal RNA is filed under the name uncultured bacterium. RNAcentral's name for it is "bacterial SSU rRNA". It matches the Rfam family "Bacterial small subunit ribosomal RNA", at positions 917 to 1271 of the family's 1533-position model. The record is from RNAcentral.
GGGCCCGCACAAGCGGUGGAGCAUGUGGUUUAAUUCGAUGCAACGCGAAGAACCUUACCUGCCUUUGACAUUGACAGAACCCUGGAGAGAUCCGGGGGUGCCUUCGGGCCUGGAAAACAGGUGCUGCAUGGCUGUCGUCAGCUCGUGCCGUGAGGUGUCAGGUUAAGUCCUAUAACGAGCGCAACCCCUACCGUUAGUUGCCAGCGUGUAAUGACGGGGACUCUAACGGAACUGCCGGUGCAAACCGUGAGGAAGGUGGGGACGACGUCAAAUCAUCACGGCCCUUACGUCCUGGCCACACACGUGCUACAAUGGUAGGUACAGAGGGAAGCCACCCCGCGAGGGGAUGCGAA